RNA transcript from Cyprinus carpio (common carp), 4204 nucleotides. It is a transcript of the gene named immunoglobulin-like domain-containing receptor 2, with no coding region annotated. The transcript is spliced from 10 exons. NCBI's taxonomy places the organism in Eukaryota, Metazoa, Chordata, Actinopteri, Cypriniformes, Cyprinidae. The record is from RefSeq and is a predicted model, not a curated record.
AUAUUUAUAUGUAUUUCUUACCAGUAUUUCGAGAGAACAGAGUUAUAAAAUAGAACAAAUGAAUGUGAGUAAUGUUUGUGUUGUUGUCGGUAAAGCGUGAUCGCGCAGAGGGCGGCGCGCGCCUCCUGUUCCUCAGACCCGUUACUCACGAGACGCAGAACAAACGGACAGAACAUGAAGGAAAAACACGGCAGAGAUUUUGCGAUGGCUCACAAAACGGAGCGGUUUAAAGUGAUUUCUCUCAUCAGAUGCUGGAUUUCACUCGUGGCAUUCACAGCGGUGACAUGGUGUGAGGCCGUGCAGGUCUCAGUUCGUGACGAGCGGCGCUUUGCGAUGCUUUUCCAGUCAGUGGUUCUGCCAUGUCAUUAUACCAGCGUCUCUUCUCAGACUCCAGUCAUCCAGUGGUGGUACAAGUCAUACUGCCGUGAUCGCAGCCGCGAUGUCUUCCGCUUCCCCGACACGCUGGCUGUCCACGGCUCUGAGCUCGGCUCUUCUGUUCACCUGGACUGCGGGGACAGCGGGCGGACAGUGCGCAUUGUGGCAUCUGGACAUGGAUCAUCCAUCACCCUCGCUGAAUAUUACAAGGGACGGGACAUUUCCAUCAUCAACAAGGCUGACCUGCGCAUCGGUGAGCUGCAGUGGGGCGACAGUGGUGUUUACUACUGUAAGGUGGUGAUUUCUGAUGAUCUGGAGGGAAAGAAUGAAGCACAUGUGGAGCUGCUUGUGUUGGGUCAGACAGGUUUGGCUGAUGAUCUUCUGCCUGGGUUUAAUGUGGAGAUUGUUCCAGAGUGGGUGUUUGUGGGCGCCGUGGUCGUGGGCAGUAUCCUCGUCAUUCUGCUGGUGGGUGUUUGCUGGUGUCAGUGUUGCCCUCAUUCAUGCUGCUGUUACGUGAGAUGCUGCUGCUGCCCAGAUACCUGCUGCUGUCCUCGACACCUAUAUGAAGCAGGAAAGGGGAUCAAGUCAACCCCUCCCACACCAGUGCCCAUGUUCCCUCCAUACUACAUACCUGGUAUGCCCACCAUGGUGCCUAUUGCUCCGCCUUCCCUCAUUGACCCGAACCUUUCCACUGCACCAUCACUGGAAAACAAUGGCUCAGUGUGGAGUGGUUUCCAUCUGCAGCCUGUGUCAGAUGAGAGUUCUCUGAAAGUGCUGCAGUACGUGGAGAAGCAGCUCGCUCAGUUCAACCCAUCACAGACUCUUAGCAGCAGCCGAAACUCCUGCAGUAUGUCUGAGCUGAGUUCCUUACAUGAUGCAGAAGCUAAUUUCCGUCAAACCAAUCGACAAGUCCAGAAAAAGGCUUUGCCUGCCAUUCCUGAUCUUGAUGACCUCCGGACCACAGAUUUAUCUCCCAUUCAUGAGGCAGGAUGCACACAACAACCCCAGCGUAGAAAUCAUGUAGCAGAUGAAAACCCCAGGUGGAACCCUCGCUCAGAACACUUGCAGAGGAAGGCUUUCCUGGAACGUGGACGGACAGGAUCUUUGGAUGAGCUAGAGGAGUUUGCAAUGGCGUAUAUGCAACGAGGACAUCACAGUGAUCUUGGAAACAGGGAGGUCAACUAUAGAGCACACGAACUGGAAAAGGAGCGCAAGAGGGAGAGAGACCGGGAGCUGGAACGAGAUCGUUACCCAUUUUAUUGUUCAAAACGUUACUCUCCGAAGGCCAGUCCAGUGAGAUGUCCACCCAGCCCUCCGCUCUUACCUGGAAAAAGACGGGACCCGUGGGACAAUGGUCAACCACAAAGGGAUACACGAAAGUGGGAUCAGAGCAGAAGAGAUUUCAGUGGUACAGGGAGCAGGCAGGACUACAGUGAUGCCCUUCUCAACAGUUUAUUAGAACGUAAAGCUAAAGCAGUCAAAACCAGUUCUUCAAAAGUAGGACAGACUGAAGAGGACUCAGACACACCUUCCAAAAACAGCUCCAAAAAGAGUAAUGAAGGUUUCCACAGCAGGUCUCCAUGCAACCAGUCACCUCGUGACCGGAUGGCAAAGGAUAAUGAAUCAUUACCGUCCUGCACCGAGAAGGAACAGGAGCGUUCCUGUGGAGCAGAGUCUGGACAACAACCUUUCAGCUACACCCGCUCUGGUCACGGCUCUACGCCAAGUGGGCAAGAGGAGCAGAACCGCCCUCGUAAAGUGGUGAGUUAUCAUUAGGACUCUUUGUGACUCUGCUGUUCAAUUGAAAGGGGGAAAUAAAACCUUUCACAGCACUGUCGACCUGAGUUUGUCUUGCAUGCAAAUGGAUGCAUUAGUGGAGUGAAAGAAAAGUACAGAGGUUCCACAGACUGAAGCCACUUCAAUCAAAGCAAAGCAGUAGAAAGGUGUUUAUCUACAGGGAAGUGAAGAAUGUAGUCCUGAAACCCUCCAACACAAUUAGUAACAUUAUUGGAAAUAUGUUUGUAAAAAUUUUGAAGUAAUUUAAAAAAGAAAAAAGAAAAAAGACCUCAAAAGAUUAGUUGAAAACAGUCAUUAAAAGAUCCAGUACAAGAGAGAAUGCAGAACAUUAGCCAUAAAUCCAAUUUCACCAGAGAAGCACUCUAUAAGAUUUCCUCCUGUCAGUCAUCAUCCUUACCAUUUAUUUCAUUCGUAUCUCUUGUAGACAUUUUUUGAUGAACAAAGUGUGCAGUUUGAUUCCGACCUAGGUCUUUCAAUCACGGUUCGAUUUGUACCUCGAUUUGACAACAGAAAAUAAGAUGUAUACAGAGCACUCUUCUGAGCAGAGACUCGCUUGUAGUUUGAUGUCUCAGAUACACAAUGGGGAAGUCACCACGCUUGCAAAAACUCCACCGCCAACACGCACUGAUCCAGUGGAGCACUAGCGCUGUGGAAGGCAGGUUUGUGAGGUCUGAACAUGAGUAUUGAAAUAUAACUUACCCUAUGGCUCACAGCUUUGACACUGAGCUUGGAGAAAAUAUAGAGUAUUCAUUCAUGAGGCUCACUGGACAAGAGACUUUUCCUCACAGUUUAAUGGAUUUGUAUUUGAUGAAAACAUUUGCCACAGUGAAAUGAUGAUGUUUACAUUGAGCGUUAUUGGAUGUAAUAUAUGAGGAUAGCAUGGUUGCCCUAUCAAAACCAGUUUUACUUACAUAUGGGACACAGUAUUUUCACUUAUAUGUAUAUAAUCUUAAAGUGCUCCAUAUGAAUGGAUUUUUGAAUUUGCUAAAUUGUUACAUUCUGACAACCUAUAUCAGUAAACAUGUUCAUAAAAAACAAGACACUUGCUAACUGCUGUGCUAGCUAACUGUGCUUUUGCACAUAUUUGCACAUAACAUUAAUAUUAUUGUAGAUCUAGUUAUACACUCAUGCUUUUAUUAGUGUUGUACGAUACAGUUAAUUUAUUUUUCAAAGUAACAAAUGAUAAUAUUGUGUGUCUUUAGGGAUGACACUGGUUUCCAUAUGCAAAGCUGAGCAAAGACUUAAAGAUAAACAGAACAAGAUUACAGGGAGUCAGUUGGUUCCAGUGGUUUAUUAAUUAUCAACCAAUCUCAUCAUAUUAGAUAAACAAGAAAGGAUUUUCAUUGAAUUACUGUUGGUUGUGAGUUCACUGAAGCACAUAUCUGGAUCAUGUAGUUAAAGAUUUCUGACUAAAAAAAGUACAAUGUGCAGCUGACUCGAGUGAAACACUUCAGUAUUAGUACUGAAAACCAGCCUCACGUAUAAUCAUUUAUCUUGUAAAGGCUCAGUCAUUGCUAUCUGUGGUACCUUAAGUUAGUGUCAAUAGUAACAGUGUGAUGUAUAUGCACUGGAGACACGCGGACACUGCACACACCAAGCGGUGACAUCACGGGACGAUGAGCUCAUCAUUCUUGUGUUGGUUCUGUUGGCGAUCAGGCAUUAGAUGACAUUUGUAUUGCUCUCAGACUGACAUCACUGUGUCAGAUGUCAGUCUUCACCUAGUUCUUCACCUACUUCACCAGUCUCCAACUACUUACUCUAGUCUUCUUUUAUCUUGAAAUGGUUAUGUUUAUAUAAGGUAGCUGUAUCAAGCAAAGUGCUUUUAUCCAAAUGCUUAAGGAAAUGGUCUAUAUAAUUACAAUUUUGCCAUGAGGACUGAAAAUCAUGUUAAUGCAACUGUUUACAUUUUUUCACAUUUGCUGCCUUAUGAAAUAUGUAUAUUAGCUGUAUGCAGAUUCAACCAUGUUAACUACAUCAAAUGAAUUUCAAUAAAAACUUGACAUUCUAAUCCUAGCAAACUCAUGUUAUGCAG